CUAGCUGGUCUGAGAGGAUGACCAGCCACACUGGAACUGAGACACGGUCCAGACUCCUACGGGAGGCAGCAGUGGGGAAUAUUGCACAAUGGGCGCAAGCCUGAUGCAGCCAUGCCGCGUGUAUGAAGAAGGCCUUCGGGUUGUAAAGUACUUUCAGCGGGGAGGAAGGGAGUAAAGUUAAUACCUUUGCUCAUUGACGUUACCCGCAGAAGAAGCACCGGCUAACUCCGUGCCAGCAGCCGCGGUAAUACGGAGGGUGCAAGCGUUAAUCGGAAUUACUGGGCGUAAAGCGCACGCAGGCGGUUUGUUAAGUCAGAUGUGAAAUCCCCGGGCUCAACCUGGGAACUGCAUCUGAUACUGGCAAGCUUGAGUCUCGUAGAGGGGGGUAGAAUUCCAGGUGUAGCGGUGAAAUGCGUAGAGAUCUGGAG
This 428-nucleotide ribosomal RNA is filed under the name Escherichia coli. Its description in RNAcentral is "bacterial SSU rRNA". It matches the Rfam family "Bacterial small subunit ribosomal RNA", at positions 283 to 703 of the family's 1533-position model. The record is from RNAcentral. Lineage: Bacteria; Pseudomonadati; Pseudomonadota; Gammaproteobacteria; Enterobacterales; Enterobacteriaceae.